AAGCUACGGCAGUCUGUUGGGCAGGCCAGUAUACCCUUUCGUGGUUAGACGAGCAUGUCACGCAGGCAAACACCUCCAAUGGCCACAAGGAGUCAAUGGGCUUGCGGGGCACCAGCCCAGUCGGGUAGCACAUCCUAAGCUCUGUGCUCAGAGCUACUGAGGGAGAUGUUGCGUGUGCUCUACAACAGCAGCCAGCGCAUCGGGCCCCAGAAGAAGUCCUCGCAAAGCACAAUCACGCGCGCAGCGGUGGUGUGUAGCAGUACAUACAGCUUCUCAUCAUGCAAAGAAACAGCACAUCUCACUGACAUAAUGGCAAUGAAGAGCAGAUCCAAAAAUUAGCUUGCAGCUCGAGCGCGGAUGGAACCGCGCCCGGCCUCGCAAUUCACAGUGUGAAGCAGCUGAACCUAGACGCGCACCGGUGAGCGGUUUUUCGUUAGGCCAAAAACCGGUAAAAAGAUGCCUCAAUGUAGUUCGUCCGCGUGCUUCGUGGGAAGCAGUUGUGUCCAACUCAAGACACCUGCGUCUACGGCGGGCGGUCACGGAUGGAGACACAGGCAUGGCUGCAGUCACUGCUGCUUGGUGAGCCUAGCGCAAGCGCCGUGUGAGCCACAUCCCAUGAGCCCACUGCAGGUGCUGGCGGCGUUGGCGGGGCCAACACAAGUAGCGCGUUCAGCGGUGUGGUGUAUGGGUCUCUCAGCGGUCUUGCCCAUGCUGGCAGUGCCAGGGACAAGAAGCAGGCCGGUCGCGCGUCUCGGAGCUGGACUUCUGUGGCGUGUAUCGCACAUGUUGUGAGUGGUUGGU
Molecule: non-coding RNA, 801 nt
Filed under: Eremothecium gossypii ATCC 10895
Lineage: Eukaryota; Fungi; Ascomycota; Saccharomycetes; Saccharomycetales; Saccharomycetaceae
Source: RNAcentral